AUUGGUUGUUUGAUAUCUGAUGAUGAUUCUGGUUAAUUAUAGUGUUGUGGGGUGAUGAUUGAGGUUGAUGAUGUUGGUUAUGAUAUUGAUGACAAGAUUUGUGAUGAUUGAUAUUGAUGAUGUUGGUUAUGAUUUUCUUGCUUGUUCGAAUUGUUUUUAAUGUUUUCUAUUUUUGUGUGUGUGGAGUCCUAUCCUACUCUAUGUUCUGCAUUUUUUUUUCUUUUGACUAUGUAGAUUUCUUCUUUUAUAAAAGGGUAUUUAAUUGUGGUUAUCUGUUACUUGCAGUUGCAUUUUUCUUCUACUAUAUCGAAUAAGAUUACAAAAACUGUUUCCAUUCAUGUAGAAUGAAGUCACUUGGCUCUUGCUAAGUGUAUAGUUUGCCUAUUGAUGCAUAGAUAGUUAUCAUGUUAUCCCCUUUUACUUGUUUUCUUUGUUAUUUCUCCUUGCUUUGUGGUUGCCAGGAGGUCCAUGUGUUCUCUUCAACUAGCUCUUUUAUUUUGAAAAAGUAAUUGCAUUGCAUUCAUGUUAUGUUAUUCUUAUAUUCUCUUAUUCUCUUCAAUUUUUCCUUUUAAGGUUCGCAACCUGGUAUCCAGGAAGGAGCUGCUGACUGGGAUGAAGAUUGGGAUAAGCUUGAAGAUAAAGGUUCACCUAAGAGUGAUAAUGAGUCAAAAAACCCCAGACCACAGAUGAACAAGAAGUUGACAGUGUACAAAGGAUGAGAAGAAUAUGUACUAUAUUAGAGAAUAUUUUUGUUUUCACAGUAUAAUAUUUUGAUGUCUUUUGUAAUUUUUUUAAUAGCUUCUACCUGGUAUUAUAUGUAAUGGAUAAAUUAUACCAUAUUUUGAUAUGUCUUGUUUGGACUAAAAAUAUAUAUAGUUUAUAAUGUAAAUUUUAUGAUUUAGAUUUA
Arachis ipaensis is the source of this 907-nucleotide non-coding RNA. The record is from RefSeq and is a predicted model, not a curated record. Lineage: Eukaryota; Viridiplantae; Streptophyta; Magnoliopsida; Fabales; Fabaceae.